GGUGGGGGCGGAGCCACAGCCGGCUCGCGCUUGUCACUCAAGCGGGUCAGGAGAGCGCGCGCCUGACUGAGAGAGACAGAGAGCGCGCGCCCAUACAAGCUCGCGCGCGCUUCAAUAGCCAGCAGGUUGCUUUCAAAACUGAAAAGCGUCCGGAUUACUUGCCCCGCCUCCUCACCUUCUCCCGCGCCUUCACCGUUUCAGCGAGGUGUGUGUGUUUGUAUGUAUAUAUGUAUGUGUGUACAUACAUACAUACAUACAUACAUACACACCGUACUAGCCGUGCCCGGCCACGCGUUGCUGUGGCAGGGUUUAUAUACCUGUGGUAUAAUGUCCAGGGUGGGAGAAAGAACUUUUGUCUGUUGAAGGCAAGUAUGAAUUCUGAAAUUAGUCAUCUUGAGUACCAUUUAAUGGCCUUGCGGCUUCAAAGCCUAGCUGCUUCCUCACUGGGGGAAUCCUUUGUUGGGAGGUGUUAGCUGGCUCAGGUUGUUUCCUGUCUGGAAUUUUCAGAGUGUAGUUCUUUAUUUUACUGUCCUGAUUUUAGAGUUUUUAAAUGGGCAGUGUUUCUUCUGCAUGCGCUGUAUAUUGUUGUUAAUUGGAGGGGGGGCUUUAAGUCCUUUUCUUUGUGUGUGUAUGUUUUUUCUUUGUGGUUGUCUGUCAUUGGGUAGUGAGGCAUUUUGUUGUCAAAUCUUGUGUUAUUUGCUCCAGUGGUUUUGUUGCUAAUUCGGUCCUACAAGCGGACAGUACAUUUUUAUAGAGAGAUAGAGAGAGAUAUACACACAUACAUACAUACAGGCCUGUGACCAGAAAAAAAAUGGGAGGGGUUGAAACUUUUUUUCCAAGAUGACUUUUCAGACCAGUGUCUCCUGAUCCGGCAUGAGAUCUCAACAAAGCCCUGAAAUUAUCAUCAUGUGCAAAGGUUCUUCACAGGUAACAGGUCCUGAAUCAUUGCUCCCUCUUAAAGCCAGCUCUUGUCAGCCACAAAGAACAAUAGUUUCCACAAUUGGCAGAAGUUUCUUUCAGUUUUCUUCUGCUUUCUUAUUUCCUUUAUCAUCAAGAUGUUUUCUAGUGUGAAUUAGCAAGAAAUUUUCAGCCAAGCACAAAUUGUUUUGAUGGUACUGUGUUUGUUGGUGUCUACUGAAGACUUCUAUUGCAUUUUCCAAUUGCACAAAUGGUUUAAUCACCAAUGCACCAAGCUUCUGAUGAACACUUUUGCCCCAACUUCUCCUCCAAACACCACGCCGUACUUAUAGAGAGCAACUUGUACAUGCAGUGAGUAGCUAACCAGGGAAAUCUGCUGAACCAUUUGGGUUGAAAUCUUAGGUGCGUCUUCUUAUCCAGAGGAAAUACAUAUCCUGGCAACUGAGUCUGUGGAUUUUGCAUUAACUGAGCUUUCACUUGGUCAUCAGAAACAGUCUUGUUCAUAUAAAGUUCAAGGCCUAACAAUGACACAGUUUCUUGUCUUUGUUCCUGUUCCAUAGUUUAUGUUAGACAAACCAGUGGCAAAUACUGCAUUUUCCUCAGUCUUCACCUGCAAUCUAAGUCAACCCGCCACCCGCCACUGUCCUAUGCCUUAGGUUUUGCCUGCCUGCUGCCAGUAGACCAACUUGGUUGCUUCCACUAUGUCAACUAUUGCUGCUAUUGCAAUAUAAAUUGGUAGAAAGGCUGAAAUCUCUCCGCUUCAAGUGAACCAUAUAGCUAGACAAACUGUUUUGGGUUUGCCUGGGCUGACAUGGGAAGUCACCUAUCUCUACCAACGCAUAAACAAUGGAUCUAGUGAUUACCUGGUUUGGGAAACAGCCAGAGGGGCUUAUCCAGCCUUCCUGUUCUCGGCCCUGCAUUCAAGUCCUAUUGACAAGCACGAAGGGAGUUCACCAAAGGCAAGGAGGAGGCAACUUUGCAGGGCUGACAAAUGGAUCAGUCAGAAAGCAGGCUUGGCAACAAUGACAGUUCUAGCUUUCCAUGAAUAAAUUUACAGAAAGGCCUACUAUGGAAAAAAUCUUUCUGAUGUCAUCUGGCCAAGAGAUCGUGACAUACAAUGCCAGCCACAGAUGCAGGCAAAACGUCAGGAGAAUAUGCUGCUAGAACAUGGCCAUGCAGCUCGGAAACCACACAACAUCCCAAUGCCUUUAUCUUCUCAUUUCUGCACAACUGCUUUAGCACAAGCCUGGUCAAACAAGAACUGGAUGAAAGGUUGGUAUUUAAAUGAUGACAAAUAGUUCUACAGAAUACUGUCUUCUCUUGAGCUUUGCAAUCUAAUCUCAAUGUUAAUAGAUUACUGCAACAUGCUCUAUGUGGAGUUGCCUUUGAAGACUGUUUGGAAGCUCCAAAUGGUCCAACGGGCAGCAGCCAGAUUGCUCACCGGAGCGGUGUACAGGGAGCAUACAACCCCCGUUAUGUCAGCUCCACUGGCUGCCAGUCUGCUACUAAGCAUAAUUCAAAGUGCUGGCUUUGGGCUAUAGAGCCCUAAAUGGUUCUGGCCCAGCUUACCUGUCUGAACAUAUCUCCCUCUACAAACGAUGUCAGACUUUUAGAUCAUCUGGGGAGGCCCUGCUCUCAAUCUCGCCUUCUUUGCAGGUGUGAUUGGUGGAGACGAGAGACAGGGCCUUCUCAGUGGUGACCCCUCAGCUAUGGAACUCCCUUCUAACAUUCCAGCAACCCACAAUACCAACUAUGCUGAUGAAGAUGAGAAUUUUCCUGCACAACUUCCAAAUAACUCCAACACGGGUUUUUCGAGACUUGGACAUCACCCCUUUGAUAACUCCUUUGCAUGCCAGAUGUCUGACCACUCCCAGGGAGACUUCUUGCGAUAACAGACUGCAAUCCAGCCCAGCCAAAAUUUCCAGUAUUUCAACACAGAAACAGCCUAAGGACCCAACUACUUCAACCUGCAAUGAACAAUCUGACAUUACCUUUAAGUUGGACCACCUUAAGAACAAGCUGUUUAUCACCAAGGACUUGGCUGAACCGUUGAUAAACUUAGUACCUAUUGAUGAGCCCUCUCAUGUUAGGAGGAACCCGGAGGGAGGCCCUGUAGUCGACCUACUAGCGAUGAAUGAGGAAGAGAUUGCAACCACAUCCCCAAUACAACUUUUGGAACCUAGGAGGGGUAACAACACACCCCCUCCGCAAGAACUGUCCUCUAACCUAAAAGCCCCGGUGCAGACUAUGACCCUGGGUACUGGUGGUGAUCCAGAUUUGCUUGCAACAUCUUGACAACUACAUUUGUUAUCCUGGAACAUUAUGGGGUGGUCAAAUAAAUUCCAUGAUGCAGACUUUGCAAUGUAUUUGCAAACAUUUAGAAUAAUUUGUCUGCAAGAGACAUGGGCUGAAGAAGCUAACUUACCAUCUCUUUAUGGUUUUAGAUCAUUCUCAGUGCCAGCUGUAAAAAUAAGUUCUAAAGGUCGCGGCAGUGGUGGCCUCACUACACUUAUCUCAGUAGAAGUAAUAAUAACAUUACUUCACUUCAAUAGAUCAAACAGAGCAACAAUAUAUACAAUAGUCUCUCUGAUUUCUUACAGAGAACAGAGGGAGUAAACAGUCCUUUUAAAACAGUCUUUAAAUAUGCUUCAUUGCCUUAAAAAUGAUUAGGCUUCAGAGAGUUCAGUUGGCAGCCAUUAAUUCCCUGGCUGUUUCCAGUCAGCACUCUCUUCGCUCUCUGAGGUGAAAAUGCCAUCUCAAACUGUUUCUCUUAGUAGCAACCAGAGACAGUAGCCAAUCAGAAUGUCAAGCUUAGUCAAUAAGCUGCUGACACAUGUCUUUCCAGUCAACCCAUUACAUCAUGGUGCCUUUUUACAAAUCUCCACAAGCCCCCUCCUUCCCGAUCUUCCAUCAGAGAGUAAAACGUGGCUCUUUGACCAAGCCUUUGGAGAACCUGUGCAAUAAACAGAUAUGGAAUGACAUGUUAUGACUAUAGGAACGACCCGAUUUAUGCUUGUUGAUUAUGUGGUCAAUUAUUAUGUUAUGAUUUUUAAAUGCCUCUAAUUGUUUUAACUGUAUUUUUCUAUUCUAUUUAAAUAUCCAUUUUGAUUUUGUAUUGUCUUAAUUUUGUAUUGUGUUGUUAAGGCAUCAAAUAGCUGCCUAUAUGUAAAACUGCCUUGAGUCCCCUUUGGGGUGGAGAAAGGCAGGAUAUCAUAAAUAAAUAAAUAAAGUUCUGUCUACAAUGAGAAACAUUUAUAUUCUGCCUGCCUGCAACACUGGUUUAAAUGCUCUUGGUUAAAAAGGUGUGAGGAUGGAACAAGGGUGCGUUUCUUUGAAAAUGGAUGCAAAUACAAUUUUGCCCAGGUAGUGAUGUGUUUCUUGACACUUAUACUGUCUUUCCCAUUGUUGGGCUCAGCAAGAGGCUGGGGAUUUCUCAGAGGACAAGGGGGAUGAUGGGUUUCCUACUGAGGAGUCUGUGUGUGAUCAGGGAGAAAUACAGGUCUUAUAUCAGAGAUAAGUGCAGGCAGUUGAAGAUGAGAUAGAGGAUGUUUUGGAUUCCAAUGUUCAUUCCUUAGCAACAGGUGAAAUCCAUUUCUCUUGGGAAUCGGCCUUCAGCUGAUGUGGAG
Long non-coding RNA from Anolis carolinensis (green anole), 4544 nucleotides. RefSeq lists it as uncharacterized. Lineage: Eukaryota; Metazoa; Chordata; Lepidosauria; Squamata; Anolidae. The record is from RefSeq and is a predicted model, not a curated record. The transcript is spliced from 4 exons.